RNAcentral lists this ribosomal RNA (493 nucleotides) under uncultured soil bacterium. RNAcentral describes it as "bacterial SSU rRNA". It matches the Rfam family "Bacterial small subunit ribosomal RNA", at positions 26 to 512 of the family's 1533-position model. The record is from RNAcentral.
AGAUUGAACGCUGGCGGAAUGCUUUACACAUGCAAGUCGAGCGGCAGCGCGGGGGCAACCCUGGCGGCGAGCGGCGAACGGGUGAGUAAUACAUCGGAACAUGUCCAGUUGUGGGGGGAUAGCCCGGCGAAAGCCGGAUUAAUACCGCAUGAGCUCGAGAGAGGAAAGCGGGGGGACCGUAAGGCCUCGCGCGACUGGGUUGGCCGAUGUCCGAUUAGCUAGUUGGCGGGGUAAUGGCCCACCAAGGCGAUGAUCGGUAGCUGGUCUGAGAGGAUGAUCAGCCACACUGGGACUGAGACACGGCCCAGACUCCUACGGGAGGCAGCAGUGGGAAUUUUGGACAAUGGGGGAAACCCUGAUCCAGCCAUUCCGCGUGAGUGAAGAAGGCCUUCGGGUUGUAAAGCUCUUUUGUCCGGAGCGAAACGGUUACGGUAGAAUAUCGUGACUACUGACGGUACCGGAAGAAGUAACGACACCGCUAACUACGUCGACC